GAGGAUCCAGGAGGCAGAGCGCUGACGGCUGCACACGGUGAACGUGCAGUAUUGACUGGAACUGCCCCCCAGAACCUCACAGAAAGGGGUGCACGCAGUGAACACGCGCUAAUUUCCGGAAUGCCCCCCAGAACCCGCCGGCAGGGGGUAGGAGAGCUGGAACAGAAACCCGGUCAGAGGGGAGGGAAGUGUCUUCAGGGCACUCCCACUCCGACCCAGAGGGAGGCUUGCCCCCGCAGCAGGCCUCCAAAAGGCCAGGAAAGCAGGGGGUAGCAGUCUUCCUCUCAAGGGUUGCCUGUUAUCAGCGCGUCACACUGAAGCUGAGACAGGGGAACUAGGAGCGCUCCGAUCCUUUCACCUGUGAGUACCCAAAUCCGCUAUUUAAGAAGCCCAGGUAUUUUACUGCAGAGGUUACAUUGAGGACUGAAAGUUAACACGGCGCCUGGAUUCUGACGGAAGGAGAUCUAGAGGCGAUGGCCUUUGUUAGCGAGCAUGCCGCCCGGGGGAGAAAGCAGGAGGCCCCGCCAGGCCGGGCCCACCCCUCGGCCGUGUUCCCCGAGGGACGCGCCGACCAGGCCGCUGGUUCCGGAAGCUGGGCUCCACAAGGAUGCGUGAGCUUCGUGAGUGAGGACACGGGGCCUGUGAGCCCAGAGGGGCGGUAGUUAAGGGGGCGGAGCCUGGGAAACCCCGCGGAAGGCGGAGCAGUUGGCAGGGCGCAGGGAUCCCAGGGACCCGAGCCCUGCCCGGGAGGCGCCCCCACCCAGCUGUCUUCGGCCCUGCGUGCCCAGCCCCUGGGAGGCCUCGGGCAGCCCCCAACGCGCCCCUGGCUCUCCUGGCCCCCUCCAAGCUCACCACCCUGUUCCACCCUGUUCCUCCUGGCUCCCCUGGGGCUGGCGGGACCCUCCCCAGAGCUUUGUCCAGAGACGCAGCCGACUGUGAACAGAGCCUUGAAGCUCCGUGUGGACCCGUGAGAAGCCCGUUUUCUGAUUGUCAGCUCCCCCCAGGGCUGAAGACGCACUUGGCCCGUGCAGCGCCGGCCCGGCCGGCUCCUCGGGAGGUGAAGCUGGUGUGGGUUUCCCGCACCCAGAUGCGUCUCCUGGAGCCGAGCCCUUCCAGCCUCAUGUGUGAUAUUUGGAGCAUCAGAGGGGCGGGCUGUAAAAGUGCCCCAGCUCCACGUCUGAGAAGGAGGGCGGGGGCAGCUGAGACCCCAGGCACUCGGCCUUUCACACCUGAGCACUAGCGCCGGAUCCAGGUUCUCUGGGGUCACCAGGCCCCACCGCAGGAGCUGCGCUUUCCCCAGAGUCCGGGGAGGGCCAGGCCUGGGCCCAGAGCUGAGAGCGAGAGUGGGCAGGGCGAUCCCGGGAUCCAGAGGAGCCACUGGGCUGCAGAGCCCGCCAGGGCCAGGUGUCUGCCUGCAACACCGUCUCCACCGGGACUGUUCCCCGGGGGCCUGUGCUGUCUGUCCACUCUCUGCUCUGCAAGCUCAACCCUCGUCACUGCCCAGUGGACGAGGAAGGUUCCCGAGAGCCUCCACCACCAGACUCCAGCAGCCUCGCCUGCAGACCAGCUUCUCUGAGCAGUCCGGUCCGUGUAUCACCACUGAAGCAGUGAAGGACCCCCUGGACAGCCAGGGUGCCCAUAGGGCCCGGGAGGUCAUCUGCCCGGGAGUCCCAGCCGUACCUCGGGAGCCUGGGCACGAGCCAGUGGGAGGGCCCGUAGCUGCCAGCAGAGCCCCGACUUCCUGGGGGCCCACCCCCCACCUCCACCUGGAGCUGCAGCCAAACCCAGCCCAGCCCAGCCAGGGGCCCAGCGCCCAGGCAGUGGUCCUCCAGUCAACAGGACGUGCUUCCGGCCCCAGACCUGGCCCAGGCGUCCCUCACUAGAGACAUGCAGCUCUCCUGUGGACCCCCGAGAGCCACACGGACGGCCAGCCCGCAGCCGCGAGGGCGGAUUCUGAACUGGGAAGACAUCCCUGCCUUUGAUGAGGACUCGGCCCCCCUCCACCCUCCACAGCAGGGAGGCUCCCAAUGAGGAGAGACCCCCCACUGCCACCCCCGCGGCGGUCACAGCCACACCAGGGGACCUUCUCUGAGCCGCUCUGCGCUGUGGCCGCCAGAGGCCAGGAACCCUCCACAGGCUGCUCGGACCAAGGAAACGCAGCCCGAGGGCUGGGAUCACUGCAGGGCGUGUUCCGGGCUAUUUUAAACUGAAUGGUGGGUACUUUCUAUAGAAGGAACAGGCGUUGACUCUUCUCUUGCUCCAUGGUUUCUGCCACUAAUGAUGAAAUCUGUCUUCAAAAAUCUAAGAAAAAAAUCUAAUAAAACUCAGUAAUAA
Long non-coding RNA from Cervus elaphus (red deer), 2334 nucleotides. RefSeq lists it as uncharacterized. The transcript has 3 exons. Lineage: Eukaryota; Metazoa; Chordata; Mammalia; Artiodactyla; Cervidae. The record is from RefSeq and is a predicted model, not a curated record.